Molecule: long non-coding RNA, 842 nt
Organism: Suricata suricatta (meerkat)
Lineage: Eukaryota; Metazoa; Chordata; Mammalia; Carnivora; Herpestidae
Exons: 2
Source: RefSeq, a predicted model, not a curated record
CGGGUGGAGGGCGGGCGGAUGGAGCGUAUGUUAGGGACGUGCUUCAGGCCCCAGGACUAGACACCUGCCGGUUAGGACGUUUCGUGUGUCUAUUCUACAAACAAAAUUGGGAAGCGGACCUCAUGGCCUGGCCUCUGCUUGUCAAUUCUGUUGUUUUGCAGGAGUUUUUGUAAGGAAGAUCUUUUGCUGGCAACUUUCUUCAGUUUGGGCCCAGAGCUUGGAGGAGCGGGCCUCCCGGGAGGAGCUGUGGGCGCGAUCAGAGCAGCAGCGCCCUCCCCGCGAGGCCUCGCCCCUCCUGUGGCGCGGGCGCCCGUGUCGUCUGCUGCCCCGGCAGACCCUGGAAGCCCCGCUGUCACCGCGGAACUGAAGGGGUGACGCACAAAGCGUGUGAGGUACAUUUUCCGAGAAGGGAGACAUUCUCACAAGCUACAUUUUCCCCAAAUAGGAAGAGACCUUUCAAAGUCGAGUCUGUGCAAGAAGCUGGUGUUCACACCAUGCAGGGGACCCCCUUUCCUGCUUUGUGGACCUGCCCAAGGCUGGCCUGCCUGUGGGGCCUCCCCGUCCCUGGCCAGCAGAGCCAUCCUUCCUGGGGCCCCAGGGAAGAAGUACGCUUCAGGCAGGAAUAGCGUCCUCUGGUUAAUUAGCAUAUGUUCUGUUCAGUAACGAUGUGGUCUAUUUAAUUAAUACGUGUUCUAUUUGGUAACAAUAUCCCUAAUUAAUACGAGUUCUAUUGUUACGAUGUACUCUAUUUAAUUAACUUCAUGUGUUCUGGGUAGAAACAACAGUAUGCUCCAUUUGACUUAUUUCCCCUGUGCACUGACCCUAAUGAAUUCCAAAACACA